AUUGAACGCUGGCGGCAUGCCUUACACAUGCAAGUCGAGCGGCAGCGCGGGGGCGAACCCUGGCGGCGAGCGGCGGACGGGUGAGUAAUGCAUCGGAACGUGUCCUCUUGUGGGGAGUAACCAGUCGAAAGACUGGCUAAUACCGCAUGAGCUCGUAAGAGGAAAGCAGGGGACCCGCAAGGGCCUUGCGCGAGAGGAGCGGCCGAUGCCCGAUUAGCUAGUUGGCGGGGUAAAGACCCACCAAGGCGACGAUCGGUAGCUGGUCUGAGAGGACGACCAGCCACACUGGGACUGAGACACGGCCCAGACUCCUACGGGAGGCAGCAGUGGGGAAGUUUUGGACAAUGGGGG
This 351-nucleotide ribosomal RNA is filed under the name uncultured bacterium. Its description in RNAcentral is "bacterial SSU rRNA". It matches the Rfam family "Bacterial small subunit ribosomal RNA", at positions 29 to 377 of the family's 1533-position model. The record is from RNAcentral.